Molecule: unclassified non-coding RNA, 416 nt
Filed under: uncultured Piloderma
Lineage: Eukaryota; Fungi; Basidiomycota; Agaricomycetes; Atheliales; Atheliaceae
Description: sequence contains ITS2
Rfam family: 5.8S ribosomal RNA (bases 1-155)
Source: RNAcentral
AACUUUCGGCAAUGGAUCUCUUGGCUCUCGCAUCGAUGAAGAACGCAGCGAAAUGCGAUAGGUAAUGUGAAUUGCAGAUUUUCAGUGAAUCAUCGAAUCUUUGAACGCACCUUGCGCCCCUUGGUAUUCCGAGGGGCAUGCCUGUUUGAGUGUCAUUAAAUUCUCAACUCCGAUUUGAUUUGUUUCUAAUCGGAGCUUGGACUUGGAGGUGCCGGCCGCAUAUAUGGUCAGCUCCUCUCAAAUGCAUCAGCGGAAUUCAACCUUUGGCUUCCGGACGUCAGUGUGAUAAUCAUGUUGCGCUGUCGUUUGAUCCUCAGAGUCCGCUUAUAAUGGUCUUUGGACAAAUCAUCAUCAAAUUUGACCUCAAAUCAGGUAGGACUACCCGCUGAACUUAAGCAUAUCAAUAAGCGGAGGCU